AAAUACUGCUGCAGCUGCACCUCGCUCAAGAGUUCCAGAAGCCAUUCUGAGCCUUCAUCUGGCUGCAUGCUACUCCCCAACCUCUCAAAAUUGGCCCAGGUGGA
Molecule: long non-coding RNA, 104 nt
Organism: Nanorana parkeri
Lineage: Eukaryota; Metazoa; Chordata; Amphibia; Anura; Dicroglossidae
Exons: 3
Source: RefSeq, a predicted model, not a curated record